Molecule: non-coding RNA, 80 nt
Organism: Trichosporon asahii var. asahii CBS 2479
Lineage: Eukaryota; Fungi; Basidiomycota; Tremellomycetes; Trichosporonales; Trichosporonaceae
Source: the annotation of a RefSeq genome assembly
GCUCGUAUAGUGUAGGUGGUUAUCACCGUUCGUUGUGGAAUGCAUCCGAGCUGACCGCUGUUCGACUCAGCGUGCGAGCA